RNAcentral lists this ribosomal RNA (374 nucleotides) under uncultured organism. Its description in RNAcentral is "partial 16S ribosomal RNA". It matches the Rfam family "Bacterial small subunit ribosomal RNA", at positions 527 to 896 of the family's 1533-position model. The record is from RNAcentral.
GUAGGAGGCGAGCGUUAUCCGGAUUUACUGGGCGUAAAGCGCGUGCAGGCGGUCCCUUAAGUCGGACGUGAAAGCUCCCGGCUCAACUGGGAGAGGUCGUUCGAAACUAGGGGACUUGAGGAUGGUAGAGGAGAGUGGAAUUCCCGGUGUAGUGGUGAAAUGCGUAGAUAUCGGGAGGAACACCAGUGGCGAAGGCGGCUCUCUGGGCCAUUCCUGACGCUAAGACGCGAAAGCUAGGGGAGAGAACGGGAUUAGAAACCCCGGGUAUUCCUAGCCGUAAACGAUGUCAACUAGGUGUAGGGGGUAUCCCAACCCCCCCUGUGCUGUAGCUAACGCGUUAAGUUGACCGCCUGGGGACUACGGCCGCAAGGCUA